This 241-nucleotide unclassified non-coding RNA is filed under the name Hevea brasiliensis (rubber tree). Lineage: Eukaryota; Viridiplantae; Streptophyta; Magnoliopsida; Malpighiales; Euphorbiaceae. The record is from RNAcentral.
UUAUCCUCCUCUCUCCUCCGUCUUGCUUUGGCUUUGGUUUCUCCUUUCCUCUAUCCUUAUCGUCCUCUCUGUCUUUCUCAACCUCAGAGAAAUCCAAAGAAUUCCGCACUUUCGACCUCCGCCUCAAAAUCAACAUCGGAUUGAACAGAUUAGAGCAUCUAUAUCUGCUACAUAUUCAUGCUCACGAAUAGAAACUGAGCCGGUUCGGCUUCCAGCAGAGUAGGCAGUGACAGUCCAACCC